Rhea pennata is the source of this 252-nucleotide long non-coding RNA. RefSeq lists it as uncharacterized. The record is from RefSeq and is a predicted model, not a curated record. Lineage: Eukaryota; Metazoa; Chordata; Aves; Rheiformes; Rheidae. The transcript is spliced from 3 exons.
AGCGAUCGAAAUAACGGAUCACAGACGUAUAACGAAGGCGUUCGUAACGUCGGGGAACGACUGCACGCUGCCGUGAAGAAUUACGGGCUACCGCCCUCGGACCUCUGCAAGUUAUCGCGUGUCAGGAGCGGCCGGUAGGAUCCAGAUGCCGGCGGAAAGGUUCUCCUCCCGGUCCCGACGAGGAGCCUUCGGCCGUAGGAAGGUCGGCCGCGUCCUUACCUGUGCUAAGCGUAGUCUGGCCGUCAAAAGAGC